RNAcentral lists this unclassified non-coding RNA (375 nucleotides) under uncultured bacterium. Its description in RNAcentral is "contains 16S-23S intergenic spacer region". The record is from RNAcentral.
UCCGAGUUGACCCCGGCAGUCUCCCAUGAGUCCCCGGCAUAACCCGCUGGCAACAUGGAACGAGGGUUGCGCUCGUUGCGGGACUUAACCCAACAUCUCACGACACGAGCUGACGACAGCCAUGCACCACCUAUCGCAGACCCUUUCGGACACUGCAUCUCUGCAGGGUUCCUGACAUGUCAAGGGUAGGUAAGGUUUUUCGCGUUGCGUCGAAUUAAACCACAUGCUCCACCGCUUGUGCGGGCCCCCGUCAAUUCCUUUGAGUUUCAACCUUGCGGUCGUACUCCCCAGGCGGGGUACUUCCUGCGUUAGCGCCGGCACCCAGAGGGUCGCUCCCCCAGGCACCUAGUACCCAUCGUUUACGGCGUGGACCAC